CACCUUCUGGUCGUCGGACUCGGACCAGUCGAAGAGCUUGCGGAAGAGGUCACGGAGGAGGCCGAAGGCGAAGAAGAUGCCGUAGCCGAUGAGGGUGGUGAGAGCGGUCAGGUAGGUGAGCCUCACCAUCCGGCGGAUCUCCCGCGGCACAGCGAUGGGGGGUAUGGGCGGCAGCGGGGGGAGCAGCAGCAGCAGCAGCGGGUGCGGCAUGGCUGGUCUUUCCGCUGCUGAAAUGAUAGAGGAGGGAAGGAGGAAAGAGAGUUAGUGGAGGGAAGAGGCGCGCUCGGGAUCGGGCUUUUAAUGGAUGCCUCUCCCAUGGCGAACGAUGGCUGCUCAAAGUGUCGUUGUUGAAGUUGUUGUUUGGUUGGCGUUGAGAGAGAUUUGCACGUAGCAGCGCUGAAUUGGAGCGGGACCAGAUUAAUGUUUGCCAAGAUCGACCACGACUGUAACAGCUCGGAUGAGGAUGGUUGGAGGAGAGAGAAGAUAUCGAAUUGGAUCUGUGUAUUGAUUACAAGGGGCUGGAAAUCUCCUACACAGGAAACUGAAACGAAUGCAGGUUUAAGAGUCUAUGAUGGAAUGACUCUGGUCAAAGAAUUUGCCUUCCUUCCAUAGUUCCAUUGCUUCUGCUGAUCAAGAAUCAAUAAAUCAAUCUCCUAUGACGCUCUGAAAAGAUGAUUGGGAUUACCAGGAGAGCAUGUUACUCCGCUUGUGCUUCUGUCUCGGAUUAAGAGUCUCAUGGAGCUUAGAGCCCCAGACCUAGCGCACAUGACGCCUGUGUUUGAGGCGAUACGGGCAUUGAAAGCCGCAUUAGUUGCACGUGCGCAUGUGCGCAGGUGAGAGUACGUGUCUGUGUGACUGUCCACGCGCUCACAUGAAGAGGAGUGUGAUGGCUGGGCACACAUGCAAGUCAAGUCCUAUUCAUACACCCUGGCCAUUCUCACUCCCCUUGCCAUGAGCUUCAAGGUUGGCUGGAAAUGAGAUGUCUAUCUUUACCUGUCUCUGGUUCCUCAUCCAACGUAGGUAGGUGACUGCAGCCACGCACAUCUUCUCAUAUCUCUCUCUGUUGUCAGAGUUUGCUGGGAGAACAACAGGACACGUGGCCAGAGGACCGUUCCAAAGGGGAUCUUAGUGUUGAAAGCAUUAGGUACAGACACGAAGAUAUUGGGCUUCAAGAGUUGAGGAUCACAGUAUUAUAUUGGCCGCAUGAUCCGGGCAUGGAAGAUCUAACUAAAGGAUCUCAGGUUUAAAAGUUCGCACAAGCAUCCCACAUGGGGGGUCUGGCACUUGCUCUACGGCAUCUUGUUGGAAUUUUCCUUCAAUUAACCAUGUAAACUUAGGUUGCGAAUAGAGUAAUAAAGGGUGCAGCACCUAUGAACUUUGUCCUCGAAAACAUAGACACUGCUUUAUCCUUGUACUGUCUAAUGGGACGACAAGACCACUGUCCUCGCUAUCUCUGAGAAAAGAUCAUUCAAAUGAGAAAUAAAUUCAGGCUUUGCUUAAUACCGCUUUGGAUUGGAUACCGAUUCAGAGAAAUUUUCAAAAGAAAAAUUCAAAGAAUUUGGGCUCUUCUGGAAACGAUGAAAGAAUCUCGCAAGGAUUGUACUGCAGCCAAAACAAGGCUGGAAGGUAGUGGAUCCACCAUCAUGGUGCCAUUGCAUGUUCUAUUUGGAGUGCUCGUGGGGGUUGGAGAUCAGGUUGAAAGAUCAUUGUGUGGUACCUUCGAGACCAUGGUCUUGGCUUGCCGAGAGAAGUGGAUUGAAGGAAGCCCAUUUGCUUUUUCUGGCGUAUAGUUUCUCUGCUCAAUAUUGGACUACCAAUUGAAACACAGAGCAACAAUGGAAGAUGUGCUUAUGGAAGUAAGAAAAAUUCACCUCGAAAUGGGUAGCUGAGUAGCCACAAGAGAAUUCCAAAUCACCUUCCAUGGGGGUCUUCAUGUAGCUGCUGAUGUCCUCACUAAUGAAGCUGGCCUGCAAUACCAGCGAACCUCAAGAGGUUAAUAACCAACGAGAGCAGGCGAAGUGGAACUUCAACCAAAAUCUGCAUUCAUACUUUGGGUUGGCUGACGAGAGGUGAACUGGCAGUGUCAUCCAACAGAGAAGAGCAAUGCUCCUGGUAUUGUUGCUCCGGUUCAACUUUCCUCUUCUUGGCAUUACCACACUUGACUAAGUCAUUGCCUUCAAAGCAAGUGCUGGAGUUGAUACUGUGGAGGGAGAGCUUAUCCUGUUCAGGGAAGUGAGGCGGCCCAGAGGAUGCAUCAGAGACCAUCGACAAGUCUUCUUCUUCCUCCUCCUCCUCCUCCUCCAAGGAAUCGCCUUUCUCAUGCUCAAGAGGCAGAGAGAAGGCACAGGAGGAGUUGUCUAAGUAAGCCGUCCAACCAGAUUGGCAUCCACUGCUGCACUCUGAGCUGAUGACAUCUCGCUCCUCCUCCCCCAGCAUGAUCAGGGGAGAUAUAUUUCUUCCACAAACCAUGAUUCGCACCUGCAGCAAAAGCAAUCAGUAAUCUAAAUGGUCAAUUAUAUAUAUUCUGACCAUCAAAAUGCCGUCGAAUGGUUUUGAUGAGUGUUGCAUGACUCGCUUAGCGAAGACUGAAGACUUUGUUCUUUGUCUAGGUAAUUUACUCCCUCCGUGAAACAGGGAAAGUCUAAACAUGCAUGAACAUGGACGGCCAGGCACGGCGUGCGUGGUCUUCUCUUUGCCCUCGCACUUAACGGAGUCUGGGACCAUGGUUCUUUAACCCGCACCUCUCACCGCUUUCCACUUCCAUCUCCUGCAUGUGCUAAUGGCCUCUUCACAUGCCCGCCAUGUAGAUGGUACGUAAUUAGCCUGUAUGUUACGUUGGAUUCUUAACUUGAAGCCUAGCUAGUUUGGAUCAUGAAAUUGAAUGCCCCCACCUAUUUGGAGGCCGAUGUAGCUAAGAGACACUAACUAGAAUUCAAUAUCCAUCUAUGCUUAUGAUACAUACAUUGAUUUGAUCUGCCACCUCGGUCUGCUACUGUUCGCUGUUGAGUUAAAACUGCUAUCCAACAAAAAUACUUCAUACAGCUGCCAAAGAAUUGAAUCUGCCGGCCCCGUAUCGAACUGUUUUAUCUUAACCACUCCGAAAGGAUUUAAUUACUUGACUGAAGAAGGGAAUGAAUAUGGGGGAGCCCUUAAUUUGUGGGUGUGUUAAAGAGUACCUAGCUGCCCAUCUUUUACCGAAUCUGCAGCCUCGAGGCGAGGGGUAGCUCAAGCCAUGUGCAACGUUAAUUCAUGGUAUAGAAGGGGUGGGGUCCGUUGCUUGCAUGGAUCCUACAAUGUAAGGGACCCAUUAGAAGACCAAGACGCAGGUCCUGUUGUCCUCUUUCUAUCUACACCAGCUGCCUAUGUGAAUGUAUCUCAAAGAAUUGGUGUAGUUCCUUUUUGCCUUUGGACUUUGGAAAUAUAUAGUGAUUUUUUAUUUUAUUUUUUUAACUAUCUUGUCAUGGUCACUACUGGUCGAUCAA
This is a long non-coding RNA of Zingiber officinale, 3482 nucleotides long. RefSeq lists it as uncharacterized. The transcript is spliced from 9 exons. The record is from RefSeq and is a predicted model, not a curated record. Lineage: Eukaryota; Viridiplantae; Streptophyta; Magnoliopsida; Zingiberales; Zingiberaceae.